RNAcentral lists this ribosomal RNA (959 nucleotides) under Moniligastridae sp. YN201757-04. Its description in RNAcentral is "partial small subunit ribosomal RNA". Lineage: Eukaryota; Metazoa; Annelida; Clitellata; Moniligastrida; Moniligastridae. The record is from RNAcentral.
ACCCCCAAUUGAAUACUCAGUCUGUAUACUGCCGUCGUAAGUAAACCUCUCAAAGAUAGUUUACCACUAACACAAAUCGUUAUACGUCAGGUCAUAGUGCAGCUCAUAAGGGGGAGGUAUAGUGGGUUACAACCUAAACAAAGAACACGAAUAUAUGACUUAACUAUCAUAAAGAAGGUGGACUUAACUGUAAUUUUUAAUAAUAAAAUGAACAAGAAUCUAAGACAUGCACACAUCGCCCGUCACUCCCCCCUUAAGGGGGGAUAAGUCGUAACAAAGUAGGUGUAGCGGAAGCUGUACCUGUCGAAGUAUAGCAUAUUUAAUAAUGCCUUUUACUUACAAUAAAAAUAAAGCCCAGGCUUACUUCGCAGACCAUCUAUAUCUUAUAACUUUUAAUUAUUGAAAUAUAAUUGUAAUAAAUAUUUUGAAUCACAACUAGUAAAGUACAGAAAUGGAAAUAUAAAUAAUAAAGUAAUUAAUUUUAAUGUACCUUUAGCAUAAUGACCUUACAAGAUAUACUCUUAUGUUAAAAUCCCGAAAUCCAAAUGAUCUGACUCUAUCCAGCUUAGAGCCCACUUAUAGAUGUUUCAUCAUCUUAAAUAGAGAUAAAGUUAGAGGCUACAUACCAAUCGCAUUGGAUAAUAUCUGGUUCUUAAAUAAAAUUAAAAUUAAAUCAAACAUAUUAUAUGUAAUGUAAAAAAGUAGAGGAUAAGCCCUACCUUUAUUAGCAUUAUAUUUUAUUAUUCUAAUAUAGGCUUAAAAACAGCCAAAUAUAAUACCUCAUCGUAAAACUAGUAAAUUUAUACUCAAUAAUCAAAAAUAUAAUUAAGAUAUUAUAUUAACUAUAAGCAAUAAAUAUAUUAUGUAAAGAUAAGUAUUAGUAAUAUUAAUAUAAACAAAUAAUCUAUGAAAAAGAAACUCGGCAAAUUGUUAUCUCGUCUGUUUAUCAAAAACAUUGC